UAUAUUCUUCGGGGCAAGGUGAAAUUCCUUACCGGCGGUGAACAAAUGUAGAUUUGUAAGUCCGUGACCCGGUGCUUGAAAAAGUAGCGGUGGAGUUGGUGCGAAUCCAACACCGACAGUAUAGUCUGGAUGGGAGAAGAGUAUA
Regulatory RNA element from Paenisporosarcina sp. HGH0030, 145 nucleotides. It matches the Rfam family "FMN riboswitch aptamer (RFN element)". From Rfam's summary of the family: The RFN element is a highly conserved domain that is found frequently in the 5'-untranslated regions of prokaryotic mRNAs that encode for flavin mononucleotide (FMN) biosynthesis and transport proteins. This element is a metabolite-dependent riboswitch that directly binds FMN in the absence of proteins. In Bacillus subtilis, the riboswitch most likely controls gene expression by causing premature transcription termination within the 5' untranslated region of the ribDEAHT operon and precluding access to the ribosome-binding site of ypaA mRNA. NCBI's taxonomy places the organism in Bacteria, Bacillati, Bacillota, Bacilli, Caryophanales, Caryophanaceae. The record is from Rfam.